Molecule: non-coding RNA, 45 nt
Filed under: Podarcis lilfordi (Lilford's wall lizard)
Lineage: Eukaryota; Metazoa; Chordata; Lepidosauria; Squamata; Lacertidae
Rfam family: Histone 3' UTR stem-loop
About the family: The mRNAs of metazoan histone genes lack a poly-A tail. 3' end processing occurs at a site between a highly conserved stem-loop (modelled by this family) and a purine rich region around 20 nts downstream (the histone downstream element, or HDE). The stem-loop is bound by a 31 kDa stem-loop binding protein (SLBP - also termed the histone hairpin binding protein, or HBP).
Source: RNAcentral
CAAACGGCUCUUUUAAGAGCCACCCACAAUUUCUGCGAAAGACUG